Non-coding RNA from Paramuricea clavata, 89 nucleotides. The record is from the annotation of a GenBank genome assembly. NCBI's taxonomy places the organism in Eukaryota, Metazoa, Cnidaria, Anthozoa, Malacalcyonacea, Plexauridae.
AUAUCGAUAUAUCGAUAUAUCGAUAUAUCGAUAUAUAGAUAUAUAGAUAUAUAGAUAUAUCGAUAUAUCGAUAUAUCGAUAUAUCGAUA